GGGGGAUUGGCGCAAUGGUAGCGCGUUGGUUUUCGGUCAGCACAAGGCCUGAAAUUCACCAAAGGUUGUGGGUUCGAGCCCCAUGUCCCUCG
This is a non-coding RNA of Kalmusia sp. IMI 367209, 92 nucleotides long. The record is from the annotation of a GenBank genome assembly. NCBI's taxonomy places the organism in Eukaryota, Fungi, Ascomycota, Dothideomycetes, Pleosporales, Didymosphaeriaceae.